RNAcentral lists this ribosomal RNA (749 nucleotides) under Rusavskia elegans. RNAcentral describes it as "mitochondrial SSU rRNA". It matches the Rfam family "Bacterial small subunit ribosomal RNA", at positions 345 to 1198 of the family's 1533-position model. Lineage: Eukaryota; Fungi; Ascomycota; Lecanoromycetes; Teloschistales; Teloschistaceae. The record is from RNAcentral.
CCAGCAACUUGGAGGAAUGUAUAGCAAUUGCUAUUUGCAUUAAAAGUUUUUAGUGUAAAAUCGACUUUGUCGAAUAAAAUUCUGGGUAGAAUUAUGAUAAUGACAUUACCUACUCAUAAGUCUUGACCAAAUUACGUGCCAGCAGUCGCGGUAAUACGUAGAAGACAAGUGUUAUUCAUCUUUAAUAGGUUUAAAGGGUACUUAGACGGUAAAUAAAGCCUCUAAAAGGUACUAGUUUGCUAGAGUUUUAUAUGAAGGGGUUUUAAAGUACUACUGGUGUAGAGAUGAAAUUCAGUUAUACCUUACAUGGCACAGGUUAAGGCGAAAGCAUCUUCUUAUGUAAAAACUGACGUUGAAGGACGAAGGCUUUGUGUCUCGAACAGGAUUAGAUACCCUAGUAGUCUAAGCAGAAAAUGAUGAAUGUCAUAGAUUAGAUUUAAUUUGAUCUGUAAAUGAAAGUGUAAGCAUUCCACCUCAAGAGUAAUUUGGCAACAUUGGAACUGAAAUCAUUAGACCGUUUCUGAAACCAGUAGUGAAGUAUGUUGUUUAAUUUGAUAAUCCGCAAAAAACCUUACCACAAUUUGAAUAGAUAUAUUUUAUCAUACAAGCGUUGCACGGCUGUCUUCAGUUAAUGUCGUGAGACUUUGGUUAGUUCCAUUAAAUUAACGUAAACCCUUACUUUAUUUUUAUAUAAAGUAGUUCACCGCUAUAUUGGAUGUGAUAAUAGGGAUCAAGACAAGUCAUCAUGA